AUUGGAUUGUCAGGGUGUGUUUUAAAAAAUUUUUCCAUUCUAAAGUAUACAUAACAAUUAUAGAUUACUUUGAUCACAGUAGAAUAUGGAUCAAAUCUUUAGAGGUUACUUGAAUCCGAUACCUCACGAGGCCUAAAAGCACAAGCCCUCUACUUCGCGUGCACGCCGGCUCUGUAGGGAAGAGGGAUGAUUCUUUUAGUACCAAUUUUUUAAAAAGGCAGUGAAGAGGA
Molecule: long non-coding RNA, 230 nt
Filed under: Elaeis guineensis (African oil palm)
Lineage: Eukaryota; Viridiplantae; Streptophyta; Magnoliopsida; Arecales; Arecaceae
Description: long non-coding RNA (EGUI_LNC063541)
Source: RNAcentral